RNAcentral lists this ribosomal RNA (465 nucleotides) under Vreelandella stevensii. Its description in RNAcentral is "partial 16S ribosomal RNA". It matches the Rfam family "Bacterial small subunit ribosomal RNA", at positions 338 to 795 of the family's 1533-position model. The record is from RNAcentral. Lineage: Bacteria; Pseudomonadati; Pseudomonadota; Gammaproteobacteria; Oceanospirillales; Halomonadaceae.
CCUACGGGUGGCAGCAGUGGGGAAUAUUGGACAAUGGGGGCAACCCUGAUCCAGCCAUGCCGCGUGUGUGAAGAAGGCCCUCGGGUUGUAAAGCACUUUCAGUGAGGAAGAACGCCUGGUGGUUAAUACCCAUCAGGAAAGACAUCACUCACAGAAGAAGCACCGGCUAACUCCGUGCCAGCAGCCGCGAUAAUACGGAGGGUGCGAGCGUUAAUCGGAAUUACUGGGCGUAAAGCGCGCGUAGGUGGCUUGAUAAGCCGGUUGUGAAAGCCCCGGGCUCAACCUGGGAACGGCAUCCGGAACUGUCAAGCUAGAGUGCAGGAGAGGAAGGUAGAAUUCCCGGUGUAGCGGUGAAAUGCGUAGAGAUCGGGAGGAAUACCAGUGGCGAAGGCGGCCUUCUGGACUGACACUGACACUGAGGUGCGAAAGCGUGGGUAGCAAACAGGAUUAGAUACCCCGGUAGUC